RNAcentral lists this microRNA precursor (98 nucleotides) under Otolemur garnettii (small-eared galago). RNAcentral's name for it is "miRNA (ENSOGAG00000023945.1)". Lineage: Eukaryota; Metazoa; Chordata; Mammalia; Primates; Galagidae. The record is from RNAcentral.
AUCACCUGGGGAUCUUGUUAAAAUGUAGAUGGUGAUUCUGAAGGUCUGGGGUGGGCCUGAGAUUCUGCAUUUCUGACAAGCUCUCAAAUGCUGCUGCU